CAGUAGCUGAGCGGAUAAAGCGAUGGUGUUUGAAGCGAAUGGUACUGGGUUCGAGUCACAGAGUGAA
Molecule: transfer RNA, 67 nt
Filed under: Schistosoma mansoni
Lineage: Eukaryota; Metazoa; Platyhelminthes; Trematoda; Strigeidida; Schistosomatidae
Source: RNAcentral